UACGUAGGGGGCAAGCGUUAUCCGGAUUCACUGGGCGUAAAGGGAGCGCAGGCGGCAUGGCAAGUCUGAUGUGAAAACCCGGGGCCCAACCCCGGGAGUGCAUUGGAAACUGCCAGGCUGGAGUGUCGGAGGGGUAAGCGGAAUUCCUAGUGUAGUGGUGAAAUGCGUAGAUAUUAGGAGGAACACCAGUGGCGAAGGCGGCUUACUGGACUGUAACUGACGUUGAGGCUCGAAAGCGUGGGGAGCAAACAGG
This 253-nucleotide ribosomal RNA is filed under the name uncultured bacterium. RNAcentral describes it as "partial 16S ribosomal RNA". It matches the Rfam family "Bacterial small subunit ribosomal RNA", at positions 524 to 776 of the family's 1533-position model. The record is from RNAcentral.